This 453-nucleotide ribosomal RNA is filed under the name Triticum aestivum (bread wheat). RNAcentral describes it as "partial small subunit ribosomal RNA". The record is from RNAcentral. Lineage: Eukaryota; Viridiplantae; Streptophyta; Magnoliopsida; Poales; Poaceae.
AUGUUUUGCAAUAAACACCUCGCAAUUUUAAAAAUAGUAGCAAACAAGUACACGACUCCUCCUUCCUCCGUCCGGCGCCCGUGCGUCGCCAGGGGCAGGGGCCGGCGCCGUGGGAUUCCUCCGCCGCGCUGGAGAUUCUGGCGCUCGCAACCCACUCGCAAUCACCCACCGCCGCACACCCGCCACCAGCUGCCCGCCGAUUCCGCUGUCCAUCGCCGUGACCACCAGGCGAACUGGUCCUCGAUCCGCCGCGACCACCUGUCGGCGCCCAGCUGCGUGAUUCCGCCGCCCACCCGCGUGAUCAGCCACUACGGCGCCGCCCACCUGCACCUGCAACGCCGCGAACCUCCGCGAUUCCGCCGCAAUCUUUCCCUGCGCCCCGUCUCUGCUGCUGGGAGACACCGAUCGGCCCAGCCUCUCCUUCUCUGCCGGCUCCUUCCUCGUCGGCUGUGA